UAAUAUGAAAGAAAAAUUCUUUUUAAUUUCGACUUAAACCAUAGAUUAUAUAAUUAAUCCAUAUUAA
RNAcentral lists this transfer RNA (67 nucleotides) under Parapolybia varia. Its description in RNAcentral is "tRNA-Arg". Lineage: Eukaryota; Metazoa; Arthropoda; Insecta; Hymenoptera; Vespidae. The record is from RNAcentral.